GAGGUCUUAGCUUAAUUAAAGUGUCUGAGUUGCAUUCAGAGGAUGCGUGUUAAGAUUACGCAGGUCUUC
This 69-nucleotide transfer RNA is filed under the name Delma butleri. RNAcentral's name for it is "tRNA-Ala". It matches the Rfam family "tRNA". Rfam says of the family: Transfer RNA (tRNA) molecules are approximately 80 nucleotides in length. Their secondary structure includes four short double-helical elements and three loops (D, anti-codon, and T loops). Lineage: Eukaryota; Metazoa; Chordata; Lepidosauria; Squamata; Pygopodidae. The record is from RNAcentral.